Long non-coding RNA from Macaca mulatta (Rhesus monkey), 2520 nucleotides. The record is from Ensembl. Lineage: Eukaryota; Metazoa; Chordata; Mammalia; Primates; Cercopithecidae.
UGGAAUUCUCUUUCUCUCCCUCUUUCUGAUAUCCAGCACUAAAUAUAUUAAUUACAUACCUACAGAAAUCACAGUAGGAUACUUGGACAACUGCUUCCAUAACUUAGCCUAUUUUGACUGAUACAAACAGAAGUGACCAUGAAGCCUGUGAGUGAGAUGGUAUCUGAAAUGAGAGAGAGUAAAGAGAAAUCGAGGCCCUCCCAGAAAAGGGUCAGGACACCCCUGGUCCUAUGAGCAGCUAUCCAUUCGUGUCGGUCCAGCAAUUUUUAGUAUCAGCCUCUAUCUGCAGUAAAGAACAAAGCUACAGUGGAAAUGACAGCUUCCCUAGAAGCCAUCUAAGUACUUUCCUACGCUCUGGGUUUGUUUGUUGUUUUUAGAAAGUUAGAGAACAGAAAACAUGGGCUACACCUGACAAGAUUCUGAGUUGAGCUCAUUUUUUAGCAGAUGUCAUGCUGUGGCUGACAGCUUUGCAGCCAGAAGAGUGAUUUUGGACAAGGGAAGGGAGAAUGGGACAGUAUUGCAACAUUUAAUAUUUUAUUUGCAACCACAUUGAUUUUUUUACAAGAAAUACCUUGUGUUAUAACAAAGAUUAUUGUUAUUUUUAUUGAAAAACCACGAACUUAAAGGGAUACUAGGUUUAUGAAAAUGAAAAGAAUCAGUUUCGUGUUAAAGAGUGGACAGUUUAUGUGUGCUUGUAAUUAUGGAAAGACUUAGAGAUGGGUAAAAAAAAGUGGAAAAGUAAAGAAAACUGCAUAUUUAUUGAGUUCUUCUUAAAAACUUUCUAGAAGCAGUGUAGAUAAAAGAAAGGAACUAUGUUUCUAGAACUAUUGUGAGAAUUAGGGAAGCCAAAGUCCAUAAAAUCUUAUUUUUCAUAAUGGCUAAUUGGAUGCAGAAAAAAACUCGUAUUUUCAAAGAAAUAUUGAUUUCCAAAGAUAAGAAUACUUGGGAUUUUAUAUUAUGCAUUUAUUUGAGAAACUGAUUUAAAUAGGCCAAGCCUCCUGUUUCUGUACAUAUGGCAGCCCAGAAAUUAUUACCGAAAAGAUGUAGGUUACAAGGACAGCAUAAGCUUGUUUUUUCAUCAACAGACAGAAAUGAUAAAUCUAUUUAUACAGGAUAGCAGUCACGAGAAAAACAAAAUGGAUUGAAUCAGAUCAAUUGUUUUCAUAUGCAAUACAUAAAUCAUUUUAAACUAAAAACUGCAUUUAUUUCUGUUAAUUGGCACCCGUUGAAAAUCAGUGCGAUGGGAUCAUUUGGUACUCCAUGCUGUUCUACGUGACCCAUAUUACUUGGUUAAUUUUCUGCUUCAGGAACGUUGUAUAGCUACCACCAAAGUAGCCCAGGCAGAGUCAGGAAAGCAUAAUUUAUGCAGCCUUCCAAAAUGCUAUUGAGGUUAUACUUAUUUAAAAAUACUUAAGCAUUAUUAGAAUGGGAAAUCUAAAAGUCAGGAGUGAAACAGUACAUUGUAUAUAGUUUGAUAUUUAAUAGGUACACAGAGGGAAGUACAAACAGCAACUUAUUCUUGUUUUUAUUCCCUCAUAUUUACAUUCUAUUUCUGUAUCCCCCAGUGAACUGGGGUAAGAUGGAUUGUGCUCUUCUCUAAUUCCUAAGCAUUAUAUACUGGAUGGCUGAGAGUUGCACUGAGUACUGAAAUUAUGCCAGUAUAAAUAGAAUAUUGCCUUUUACUUUUCAACAACUUGAGUUGCUCCGUGAAAGGAGCAAUUUCCCCACAUACCUGAGCAUCUGGAGACAUUUCUUUUAUUUACAAUUUGACUACCAGACAAGUCAUUAAGAAUUUCAGAAAUUGCUAGCUACGUUUUUAAGAUAGGAAGUCCAAACUAAGUUAUGAUUCAGAAAAUCCAUUUGGCUAAAGUGAAAUUUUAUGCAAUUAAAUCCACAUAGUAAAUAUAUUGGCAAAUUAUGUAGACUGUUCCCUAGCUUUGGGACUAUUUCCAACAUAACUAAGAUGGAAAGAAAUCCUGCUUGUGUAAAGUUACUGCUUCUUCCACACGGAGUUUAGACACUGUGAUUCUGCAAUGGCUUAUUGUGCUCGAGGUCCAGAGCUGAUGGAGUGGAUGUAAGGCCCUUUUAAAGUUUCUGGUCCCUUAUAUUUAGCCUGAAGGCACUUAUUUCUCUUAAGUUGACUGUUCUACGUUCACUUAAGAGUGUAAUUAUUUUUAAUAAAAUGCAAACAUCAAUUUAAUUUUGGAUUUUUUUAGAACCACUACUCACCCAUUUGGCAUUUUUUGUGUGUGUUGUGAAUUAGAGAAAGGUGACUUUGGAGUUGACAGACUCUGCCAGCACCCCCUGCCCCCCACUUGUGUCCUCAUCUGGGCACCGUUUUGCAGCACAAUCGGUUCACCUGUUCAUGACAGCUCUGUAUUUUUCAUUAGUCUCUAAUUUAAUAUUUGUCACAUUAUUUCUUGCACAUACUGUUGAUUUUAAGCUUUAAACUAUACCUAGAAUGUGCUGAUUUUGUCGAGGAUGUUGUAAUAAAUUAUAGAAAAUUAUCUGAUUUAUACU